Osmerus eperlanus (European smelt) is the source of this 473-nucleotide long non-coding RNA. RefSeq lists it as uncharacterized. The record is from RefSeq and is a predicted model, not a curated record. The transcript is spliced from 3 exons. NCBI's taxonomy places the organism in Eukaryota, Metazoa, Chordata, Actinopteri, Osmeriformes, Osmeridae.
UCGUUUACAGGCCAAAUGUAGUUUCAUAAAUUUGUUUAAACUAUAUUUUUUGAAAUCACACUCUACCAUCUGACCUGAAAUGUUCCAUAUUCUAUCUGCAGUCAACAUUGACAAACACCAAUAAAACAAAUGACCACAAUGUUAAACAUGAUUUGAUCUUGUUUCUUUAUUUUUUAGAUAAUACCUAAUUCAGAUGAUGCCAUUCCAAGUACUUCAGGACAUUUAGCAACCAAGAGCACGUCAUACAGCAUAUACACAGAUCUCUAUGCACCGAUUGUCAUUAAUGAUAGUGACGAGGAUGAGGAUCUCAGUGAUACUGGAAGAAGUCUGGAUGUCCUAGAGAACCCGACCGAGCAUACAAGUGUAUCAGUGCCCGACAUAAUUGAAAAUUUGGCGCUUGCCAUCGACCACAAAAAAAUCAGCAGGUUCAACAUAGCCAGGUCAAAUGUAUGGGAUGGAGCUGUCCGAGGGUU